Molecule: unclassified non-coding RNA, 200 nt
Filed under: Preussia sp. (in: ascomycete fungi)
Lineage: Eukaryota; Fungi; Ascomycota; Dothideomycetes; Pleosporales; Sporormiaceae
Description: Preussia sp. (in: Fungi) partial internal transcribed spacer 2
Source: RNAcentral
UUAAGUUCAGUGGGUAGUCCUACCUGAUCCGAGGUCAAAUUCAUGGGGGUAGCUUCUGGGAGCCGAUCCGUCGGGCCCGAGUUCGCGUUUCUGCUGCGCUCGAAGCCAACGUGCCGGUCGCCAAUAGAUUUGAGGCGAGUCCGCGCCGUGAGGCAGGACAGACGCCCAACACAAGCAGAGCUUGAAGGUUUGAAUGACGC